AGAAACUUAGGAUAAUAGAUAAACCAAAGGCCUUCAAAGCUUUAAAUAAGAGUUAAAUCCUCUUAGUUUCUG
Molecule: non-coding RNA, 72 nt
Organism: Tinamus guttatus (white-throated tinamou)
Lineage: Eukaryota; Metazoa; Chordata; Aves; Tinamiformes; Tinamidae
Source: Rfam